AGAACGAACGCUGGCGGCAGGCCUCAAACAUGCAAGUCUAGGGGGUGUAGCAAUACAUCACCGGCGGACGGGUGCGUAACGCGUGGGAAUAUACCUAUUGGUUCGGAACAACUGAGGGAAACUUCAGCUAAAUACCGGAUGAGCCCUAACGGGGAAAGAUUUCUCGCCAAUAGAUUAGCCCGCGUCCGAUUAGCUAGUUGGUGGGGUAAAAGCCUACCAAGGCGACGAUCGGUAGCUGUUCUGAGAGGAAGAUCAGCCACACUGGGACUGAGACACGGCCCAGACUCCUACGGGAGGCAGCAGUUGGGAAUCUUGGACAAUGGGGGAAACCCUGAUCCAGCCAUGCCGCGUGAGUGAUGAAGGCCUUCGGGUUGUAAAACUCUUUCGACGGGGACGAUAAUGACGGUACCCGUAGAAGAAGCUCCGGCUAACUUCGUGCCAGCAGCCGC
RNAcentral lists this ribosomal RNA (449 nucleotides) under uncultured bacterium. RNAcentral describes it as "SSU rRNA". It matches the Rfam family "Bacterial small subunit ribosomal RNA", at positions 26 to 518 of the family's 1533-position model. The record is from RNAcentral.